AUCAGUAGAGGAAAGGGAACAGAUUGGUGUACUGAUGGUGGGUUUUGACACAUAAACACACACCUACACUCUCUCUCUCUCUCUCUCUCUCUCUCUCUCUCUCUCUCUCUCUCUCUCUACUCCUUUUGGUGGUGUUUAGUUUCUGAUCUCUUUUUUGCUCUCUGACAGGAAGGUGAAAAAGAUCAUCAUUACCCCUUGAUUGCAGGAUCUUCUCUCUCCUUUCUCUCAUGCUUUCGUUUUCUGCUGCUAUUUUCAUGCCCCUUUUUUUUUUGUUAUUUUUUUGAGUAAUUUUUAUUCCUGAGCCCUGAUUAUUUCUUACCAAACAUUCUUUAUGAUAUCCUUCUAAGUGAUCAAAAUGUUAGUUUCUUCUUUCCUAAAUCUUCAUCAUGCAAUAGGUAAUCAAAUGAAAGAAAACAUAUCUCGAGGCCAUGAAAAAGCUGGUUAUAAUCCAGCAGUUAUCAAACUACCAUUUUUACUCCCCCUUAGUUUUUUAGGUUAUUCUACGAGUUAAAAAUCUAUUGUAGUAGUAGAUCCACUGGUAUAUUGAGUUUUCUGCAGUGAGUAGUCAAUUCCACCUUGAAGAAACAACUAACAGUACUAUCCUGGCUUUGCUUCAUCAGUUUGCUUUGCCGUGUGUUAGUUUCCUUCUCAUGUGAUGCAACAUAUAUUUUUUUUUGAAGGAAUGAAUAGAGGAGGAGGUCAUUCAACAUCACUUUUUACAGGCUUUUUGAUAGUCUACCUUGAUGAUAUAUAUCUACUUCUUUGAAGUGUGUGUGGUUGCAUCAUGUAUCAACUUUCGAAAUUCAGCAUAUUCCAUAUAUAGAGAGAGAGAGAGAACACAUCCCGCAUCUAUAUUAUGGAUGUGCAAUGUAACACUCUUGAGGGAAACAAUACCAUCCACAAAGUCCAGGCCUAACAUAUAGACAAGCUUUGUUGAUUAGUGAUUUUGAUUUUGUUAAUCUGAGAGAAGAACAUGCAGUUUAUUAAUUUCCAUAAAAUCACAGUGUAAGUUUUUCCCCCCCUUUUCCUUUGAAGGGUGUAAAUUAAAGUUAUAUAUCUAAAGCUAAAUGUAUAUAUACUGUGGUACUGUGGUCUGUGGUUAUGAUUUUCUUAGAUGGCUUAAGCUAUAACUUGGUUGUUUUGCUCUAUUAAAUUUGAAUGCCUUUGUAUAUUUCUUUUCUUUUA
Molecule: long non-coding RNA, 1185 nt
Organism: Ananas comosus (pineapple)
Lineage: Eukaryota; Viridiplantae; Streptophyta; Magnoliopsida; Poales; Bromeliaceae
Exons: 2
Source: RefSeq, a predicted model, not a curated record